GACUGUCCCUCUAUAACAAUAAGGGGGUGUGGUAGGUAGCUGACUGUCCCUCUAUAACAGUAAGGGGGUGUGGUAGGUAGGUGACUGUCCCUCUAUAACAAUAAGGGGGUGGUAGGUAGGUGACUGUCCCUCUAUAACAGUAAGGGGGUGGUAGGUAGGUGACUGUCCCUCUAUAACAGUAAGGGGGUGGUAGGUAGGUGACUGUCCCUAUAUAACAAUAAGGGGGUGGUAGGUAGCUGACUGUCCCUCUAUAACAGUAAGGGGGUGGUAGGUAGCUGACUGUCCCUCUAUAACAGUAAGGGGGUGUGGUAGGUAGCUGACUGUCCCUAUAUAACAAUAAGGGGGUGUGGUAGGUAGCUGACUGUCCCUCUAUAACAGUAAGGGGGUGGUAGGUAGCUGACUGUCCCUCUAUAACAAUAAGGGGUUGUGGUAGGUAGCUGACUGUCCCUCUAUAACA
Molecule: long non-coding RNA, 457 nt
Organism: Oncorhynchus keta (chum salmon)
Lineage: Eukaryota; Metazoa; Chordata; Actinopteri; Salmoniformes; Salmonidae
Exons: 3
Source: RefSeq, a predicted model, not a curated record